Molecule: ribosomal RNA, 751 nt
Filed under: uncultured fungus
Lineage: Eukaryota; Fungi
Description: eukaryotic LSU rRNA
Rfam family: Eukaryotic large subunit ribosomal RNA
Source: RNAcentral
AUAUCAAUAAGCGGAGGAAAAGAAACUAACAAGGAUUCCCCUAGUAACGGCGAGUGAAGCGGGAUGAGCUCAAAUUUAAAAUCUGGCUGGUUUACUAGUCCGAGUUGUAAUUUAAAGAAGCGUUUUCGGUGGCAGCCUGGGUAUAAAUCCUUUGGAACAGGGUAUCAUAGAGGGUGAGAAUCCCGUCUUUGACUCGGUGCUGUGCUACUAUGUGAUACGUUUUCAAAGAGUCGAGUUGUUUGGGAAUGCAGCUCAAAAUGGGUGGUAAAUUUCAUCUAAGGCUAAAUAUUGGCGAGAGACCGAUAGCGAACAAGUACCGUGAGGGAAAGAUGAAAAGAACUUUGAAAAGAGAGUUAAACAGUGCGUGAAAUUGUUGAAAGGGAAACGUUUGACACCAGCUAUGUAGGUGGAAAAUCAGUCAACUGCAGUGAGGAGUUGUACGGGUCUGACCGCAAGGCUGGCCUGUGCCUCAUCUUUGCUGUGUGUGAUGCACUUUUUCGUCUGCAGGUCAACAUCAGUUUCUCCUGCUGGAUAAAACUCUGAGAGAAGGUAGCAGCUUAGGCUGUGUUAUAGCUCUGGAGCGAUACAGUGGGAGGGACUGAGGAUUCGCAGUGUGUGCUCUCGGGCAAGGCCGACUGGGUGCUAUGGAGUCGUUCGGUGUACAAUGCAUGCAUUUUGCGCCGUGUCUUCUUUAUACUCGCUCAACUCGGCUCUUCCACGCUUAGGAUGUUGACUUAAUGGUUUUAAACGA